CCUACGGGAGGCAGCAGUGGGGAAUAUUGGACAAUGGGGGGAACCCUGAUCCAGCGACGCCGCGUGAGUGAAGAAGUAUUUCGGUAUGUAAAGCUCUAUCAGCGGGGAAGAAAGAAAUGACGGUACCUGACUAAGAAGCCCCGGCUAACUACGUGCCAGCAGCCGCGGUAAUACGUAGGGGGCAAGCGUUAACCGGAUUUACUGGGUGUAAAGGGAGCGUAGACGGCGAUGCAAGUCCGAAGUGAAAGGCUGGGGCCCAACCUCCGGACUGCUUUGGAAACUGUAUGGCUGGAGUGCAGGAGAGGUAAGUGGAAUUCCUAGUGUAGCGGUGAAAUGCGUAGAGAUUAGGAGGAACACCAGUGGCGAAGGCGGCUUACUGGACUGUAACUGACGUUGAGGCUCGAAAGCGUGGGGAGCAAACAGGAUUAGAUACCCUUGUAGUC
RNAcentral lists this ribosomal RNA (443 nucleotides) under uncultured bacterium. RNAcentral's name for it is "partial 16S ribosomal RNA". It matches the Rfam family "Bacterial small subunit ribosomal RNA", at positions 338 to 795 of the family's 1533-position model. The record is from RNAcentral.